GAUGAACGCUGGCGGCGUGCCUAAUACAUGCAAGUCGAACGCACAGCGAAAGGUGCUUGCACCUUUCAAGUGAGUGGCGAACGGGUGAGUAACACGUGGAUAACCUACCUCAAGGUUGGGGAUAACAUUUGGAAACAGAUGCUAAUACCGAAUAAAACUUCGUAUCGCAUGAUACAAGGUUAAAAGCGCUACGGCGUCACCUAGAGAUGGAUCCGCGGUGCAUUAGUUAGUUGGUGGGUAAAGGCCUACAAGACAAUGAUGCAUAGCCGAGUUGAGAGACUGAUCGGCCACAUUGGGACUGAGACACGGCCCAAACUCCUACGGGAGGCUGCAGUAGGGAAUCUUCCACAAUGGGCGAAAGCCUGAUGGAGCAACGCCGUCGUGUGUGAUGAAGGCUUUCGGGUCGUAAAGCACUGUUGUAUGGGAAGAACAGCUAGAGUAGGGAAUGACUUUAG
This 455-nucleotide ribosomal RNA is filed under the name uncultured bacterium. RNAcentral describes it as "bacterial SSU rRNA". It matches the Rfam family "Bacterial small subunit ribosomal RNA", at positions 28 to 478 of the family's 1533-position model. The record is from RNAcentral.